Non-coding RNA from Phalacrocorax carbo (great cormorant), 987 nucleotides. The record is from RefSeq and is a predicted model, not a curated record. NCBI's taxonomy places the organism in Eukaryota, Metazoa, Chordata, Aves, Suliformes, Phalacrocoracidae.
CAUGUGUUUUGUCAUCCAGGCUGUAACAGCAGAAGGGCAACCAUCUCUGCUUUUUGCUGUUAUCACAAGAAUAGAGAUUUUCCUUUCAUAGAGUCAGGAAACUCAGUAUUUGAGAUUUGCGUGCUUUGUGACUUGAGCUGCAUGUUGGUGUGCAGGAGCCCAAAGCCUUCCUGCAAGCAUGUGGCAUCUCAGAAGAUAUUGGUGAAAAGAACCAUCAAUAAAACACAUCCUCCAGUUACAGAGGGGACACACCACUGUAUUCAUUUGCUUUGGGCCCCAGAAGAAGGAGCAGAUAGAAGAUCAUAAGGACGAUGGUUAUAAUACUCAGCUGAAGAAAGGAGAUCCAAUGUUGCAUGUUCACGGAGUCAUGUACAUAAGGGGACAUGGCAAGCCCUGGAUAACUGCAGAGCUGUUGCAUACCUAGGAAGCUGCCAUGUCUUCCUUCUUCAGAUCUAUCAUGUUGCGAUUUCUCAUAGAGAGAGAACGUCCAUGGAGGGAUAACACGCACAGCUUCUAUUGACUUCUCUGGGGCUGCGGAUUUUUUUUCCACCCUGCCUAUGUGUUAGGUAUGUCCCACAUAAGCUCUUGGCAAUUCUUGUAACAAACCAACACUUUCCAUGUGCUUAGAUGACACAUUCACUUUUUAGGUACUGUCACAAAUUAGUACAGAGACUCUGUUUCCCUUCCCUUUGAACUAAAUAUGGAGCGAUGGUGGUACUGAAACACCGAGUUUGCUGAUUCAAUUAUAAAGGCUGCAUCCUCUGAGCCUUUUCCUACAGGUGAACGUGUUUUCUAGUGACACAUAUAAUGUCCUUUGAAAACUUACAUAGGAAUGUUUGUCGCUAGGUGGCAGAAUUAGACUGUAUUAGUACUAACAUUUGUUAUGAUUUGUCCAGUUGACUUCUUUCUAUUCCAUAAAUACCUCUUUGACUAUACCCAGCAUUCAAAAUUAUCGAAAAGGUAAAAUAAAUUUUAAUAAAUGCAGCG